Molecule: long non-coding RNA, 975 nt
Filed under: Medicago truncatula (barrel medic)
Lineage: Eukaryota; Viridiplantae; Streptophyta; Magnoliopsida; Fabales; Fabaceae
Description: lncRNA gene19990
Source: RNAcentral
GAUGCGGAAAAGAGUAUUGACAUUGAUCCACAAGAAGCACAACAAACUCUAAAAAUAGCAGAAGCUAACUUGAAUAAGGCUGAAGGGAAAAGACAAAAAAUUGAGGCAAAUCUAGCUCUCCGACGAGCUAGGACACGAGUAGAGGCUAUCAAUAGGAUCUCGUAACAAGUUGGUUCAGCAAAAUAAUUAAAAAUAGAAAAAGAUAGAAAAUUACAAUAAAAAAAGAUGAGUAGAAAAACUUAUUAGAUACCGGAAUCAAUGGUAUCUAAUACGUUCUAUCUAUACCUUACCUACUAUUGGAUUUGAACCAAUGACUCCUGCCGUAUGAAAGCAAUACUCUAACCACUGAGUUAAGUAGGUCGUUUAUCAUCCUAAAUAAAAAAAGUACCCAUCUAUCAGAUCAAUGGAUUAUAAAUGUUAUAUUACUUAUAAACAAUACCAACGCACUAUCAAUCAAAGAGAUUCGAUCAUGUAAUAUUAAUCUUGACAAGAAUUUAUUUAUCGAAUAAAAUAUGUAUCAAAAGCACAAGGGCUAUAGCUUAGUUGGUAGAGCACCUCGUUUACACACGCGCCAAUGUUUUUUUUUCCACAUGAGUCCAUCAUGUAAUUAAAAGAGUUGAUCUUAUUGAGAAAUCCAUGUCUUACUCCAAGAAUAAAAUAAGAGAACAAUAGCCUGACAAAGGAUUUAGACGUCAAAUAAAAUCCAUAAUGGAUUUGAGAUAUUGAUAAGGUGAAUACUUAAUCUAUUCAAUGCUAGGCAAAUGAGUCUAGGGACCUCAAAAAAAUUCUCUUUUCUUCCUAUCUUAUGAACUUUAAGGUGUAUGAAGUUUCAUUUCCUAUUUGAUAUUUUUAUUUAAGUGGGUUGAUAGAGAGUCCAUUUAACUUUAGUUGAUCCAGGCCAAAAGCAGACCUACGUCAGGAUAACCUUCUUCUUUGAAAAACUUUGGUAGUGCUCUUAGAUUAAAAUCUAAAAAA